This is a long non-coding RNA of Exaiptasia diaphana, 511 nucleotides long. RefSeq lists it as uncharacterized. The record is from RefSeq and is a predicted model, not a curated record. NCBI's taxonomy places the organism in Eukaryota, Metazoa, Cnidaria, Anthozoa, Actiniaria, Aiptasiidae. The transcript is spliced from 3 exons.
AGUUCAAUUAAAGCAAACAAAAGAAACUUCAAAAAUUUGAUCAUCAAAGAGUUUGUAAGCUUAAACGUAGCAAUGAUUGAAAAGAAGUGUUUGGACGUCGAUGUAUAAAGGAGUACAAGGAAGACUACAGUCUCUUUGAUUGCGAGCUGCGUAGAGCUGGAAAAUUUUACGACAGAGUCUUCAUUGUUUCAUUUCAAUAUUAACUUGGGUUCUCGAUAAGCACAGGCCAUCACCUUCGUACAAUCAUUUUCGAAACGAAUUGGAGGAUCGUCCAGUCUUCUUUGCUUGCUUUUCGACCUUUGUGACUUUGUGACGGAACGAGCACCUGCAGUUUGAAAGACAAGUCUAACCGCGUGGCCGAAUGGAAGCCGUGUCUUCGAUUUCCAAAGGCCCGUUUACACUUGCAAUUUUUGCAGCGCGAUUGUCGCGCGACAAUCACCACUUUGCUCUCGCGCACCUCAAAUCGUACGUGUAAACAGCCCUGCGAUUAGAGAGGUUUAGCAUGAUGUUC